GAUGAACGCUGGCGGCGUGCCUAAUACAUGCAAGUCGAGCGAACGGACGAGAAGCUUGCUUCUCUGAUGUUAGCGGCGGACGGGUGAGUAACACGUGGAUAACCUACCUAUAAGACUGGGAUAACUUCGGGAAACCGGAGCUAAUACCGGAUAAUAUUUUGAACCGCAUGGUUCAAAAGUGAAAGACGGUCUUGCUGUCACUUAUAGAUGGAUCCGCGCUGCAUUAGCUAGUUGGUAAGGUAACGGCUUACCAAGGCAACGAUGCAAAGCCGACCUGAGAGGGUGAUCGGCCACACUGGAACUGAGACACGGUCCAGACUCCUACGGGAGGCAGCAGUAGGGAAUCUUCCGCAAUGGGCGAAAGCCUGACGGAGCAACGCCGCGUGAGUGAUGAAGGUCUUCGGAUCGUAAAACUCUGUUAUUAGGGAAGAACAUAUGUGUAAGUAACUGUGCACAUCUUGACGGUACCUAAUCAGAAAGCCACGGCUAACUACGUG
This 497-nucleotide ribosomal RNA is filed under the name uncultured bacterium. Its description in RNAcentral is "partial 16S ribosomal RNA". It matches the Rfam family "Bacterial small subunit ribosomal RNA", at positions 28 to 507 of the family's 1533-position model. The record is from RNAcentral.